Molecule: transfer RNA, 76 nt
Filed under: Micromonospora saelicesensis
Lineage: Bacteria; Bacillati; Actinomycetota; Actinomycetes; Micromonosporales; Micromonosporaceae
Description: tRNA-Asp
Rfam family: tRNA
About the family: Transfer RNA (tRNA) molecules are approximately 80 nucleotides in length. Their secondary structure includes four short double-helical elements and three loops (D, anti-codon, and T loops). Further hydrogen bonds mediate the characteristic L-shaped molecular structure. tRNAs have two regions of fundamental functional importance: the anti-codon, which is responsible for specific mRNA codon recognition, and the 3' end, to which the tRNAs corresponding amino acid is attached (by aminoacyl-tRNA synthetases). tRNAs cope with the degeneracy of the genetic code in two manners: having more than one tRNA (with a specific anti-codon) for a particular amino acid; and 'wobble' base-pairing, i.e. permitting non-standard base-pairing at the 3rd anti-codon position.
Source: RNAcentral
GCUGGCGUAGCUCAGCGGCUUGAGCACCUCGUUGUCAGCGAGGCGGCCGCGGGUUCGAGUCCCGCCGUCAGCGCCA